ACCUUCGUAGUGUAGUAGUCAGCACACUCAACGCGUCAAUGAGAGGACCGUGGUUCGAUUCCCAGCGAAGGCG
Molecule: transfer RNA, 73 nt
Filed under: Stegodyphus mimosarum
Lineage: Eukaryota; Metazoa; Arthropoda; Arachnida; Araneae; Eresidae
Rfam family: tRNA
About the family: Transfer RNA (tRNA) molecules are approximately 80 nucleotides in length. Their secondary structure includes four short double-helical elements and three loops (D, anti-codon, and T loops).
Source: Rfam by way of RNAcentral